Molecule: ribosomal RNA, 488 nt
Filed under: uncultured bacterium
Lineage: Bacteria
Description: partial 16S ribosomal RNA
Rfam family: Bacterial small subunit ribosomal RNA
Source: RNAcentral
UUGAACGCUGGCGGCAGGCCUAACACAUGCAAGUCGAACGGUAACAGGAAGAAGCUUGCUUCUUUGCUGAAGAGUGGCGGACGGGUGAGUAAUGUCUGGGAAACUGCCUGAUGGAGGGGGAUAACUACUGGAAACGGUAGCUAAUACCGCAUAACGUCGCAAGACCAAAGAGGGGGACCUUCGGGCCUCUUGCCAUCGGAUGUGCCCAGAUGGGAUUAGCUAGUAGGUGGGGUAACGGCUCACCUAGGCGACGAUCCCUAGCUGGUCUGAGAGGAUGACCAGCCACACUGGAACUGAGACACGGUCCAGACUCCUACGGGAGGCAGCAGUGGGGAAUAUUGCACAAUGGGCGCAAGCCUGAUGCAGCCAUGCCGCGUGUAUGAAGAAGGCCUUCGGGUUGUAAAGUACUUUCAGCGGGGAGGAAGGGAGUAAAGUUAAUACCUUUGCUCAUUGACGUUACCCGCAGAAGAAGCACCGGCUAACUCCGU